AAUUCUCAACUUUAUAAGUUUUUACUUAUUAAAGCUUGGAUGUUGGAGGCUUGCAGGCGUUUGUCAGCUCCUCUUAAAUUUAUUAGUGGGAACCCUGUUUUGUUAGUUCUAACCUUGGUGUGAUAAUUAUCUACAUUUUGGUGGAACCUUACAAUAAUAAAGCUCUAUUGGUUUGGGUUGUUGCAUUUAGUUUGCUCAAUCUGUUCUAUUCAUUGGAGAAAAAGGGAAGUUCCGCUUUCUAACUGUCUUGAUUGACUAUAUAUAACUUAUUU
This 272-nucleotide unclassified non-coding RNA is filed under the name Lentinula edodes (shiitake mushroom). Its description in RNAcentral is "sequence contains ITS2". RNAcentral also lists the same sequence under 1 other name. The record is from RNAcentral. Lineage: Eukaryota; Fungi; Basidiomycota; Agaricomycetes; Agaricales; Omphalotaceae.